RNAcentral lists this unclassified non-coding RNA (253 nucleotides) under uncultured Lactifluus. RNAcentral describes it as "sequence contains ITS2". Lineage: Eukaryota; Fungi; Basidiomycota; Agaricomycetes; Russulales; Russulaceae. The record is from RNAcentral.
AAUCUUCAACCUUCUCUGCUUCUUUUUGAUCGGGGAAAGGCUUGGACUUUGGAGGCUUUUGCUGGCAUCUUAUGAAGUCAGCUCCUCUUAAAUGCAUUAGCGGGGGUUUCCUUUUGUCAAUCCUCGACGUGAUAAAGUUUUUCUACGUCUGAGGUCUUGGCUUUAAGACCCGCUUCUAAUGGUCUCGUCGAGACGUUUGGUCGAGUUUUGCCCUUCAGUUUGGGGGGUGGGACUUUGGCCCACAAUGAACCAU